GACGAACGCUGGCGGCGUGCUUAACACAUGCAAGUCGAACGGAAAGGCCCUGCUUUUGUGGGGUGCUCGAGUGGCGAACGGGUGAGUAACACGUGAGUAACCUGCCCUUGACUUUGGUAUAACUUCAGGAAACUGGGGCUAAUACCGGAUAGGAGCUCCUGCUGCAUGGUGGGGGUUGGAAAGUUUCGGCGGUUGGGGAUGGACUCGCGGCUUAUCAGCUUGUUGGUGGGGUAGUGGCUUACCAAGGCUUUGACGGGUAGCCGGCCUGAGAGGGUGACCGGCCACAUUGGGACUGAGAUACGGCCCAGACUCCUACGGGAGGCAGCAGUGGGGAAUAUUGCACAAUGGGCGGAAGCCUGAUGCAGCAACGCAGCGUGCGGGAUGACGGCCUUCGGGUUGGAAACCGCUUUCGCCUGUGACGAAGCGUGAGUGACGGUAAUGGGUAAAGAAGCACCGGCUAACUACGUG
Molecule: ribosomal RNA, 468 nt
Filed under: uncultured bacterium
Lineage: Bacteria
Description: partial 16S ribosomal RNA
Rfam family: Bacterial small subunit ribosomal RNA
Source: RNAcentral